This 269-nucleotide ribosomal RNA is filed under the name uncultured bacterium. Its description in RNAcentral is "partial 16S ribosomal RNA". It matches the Rfam family "Bacterial small subunit ribosomal RNA", at positions 337 to 603 of the family's 1533-position model. The record is from RNAcentral.
GCCUACGGGGGGCAGCAGUGAGGAAUAUUGGUCAAUGGUCGGGAGACUGAACCAGCCAAGCCGCGUGAGGGAUGAAGGUACAGAGUAUCGUAAACCUCUUUUGUCAGGGAACAAAGGCGGGGACGUGUCCCCGGAUGAGUGUACCUGAAGAAAAAGCAUCGGCUAACUCCGUGCCAGCAGCCGCGGUAAUACGGAGGAUGCGAGCGUUAUCCGGAUUUAUUGGGUUUAAAGGGUGCGCAGGCGGUCUGUUAAGUCACCCCUCCCCCCCC